This 776-nucleotide ribosomal RNA is filed under the name uncultured Neocallimastigales. RNAcentral describes it as "partial large subunit ribosomal RNA". It matches the Rfam family "Eukaryotic large subunit ribosomal RNA", at positions 23 to 644 of the family's 3401-position model. Lineage: Eukaryota; Fungi; Neocallimastigomycota; Neocallimastigomycetes; Neocallimastigales. The record is from RNAcentral.
AGAGAGAGACAUGCGCGCAUAUCAAUAAGCGGAGGAAAAGAAACUAACAAGGAUUCCCUUAGUAACGGCGAGUGAAGCGGGAAGAGCUCAAAUUUGAAAUCUUCAAGGUUCUACCUUGACGAAUUGUAGUUUAUAGAAGUGUUUUCUGUUAGUGGAGUGGCAAAAGUUCUUUGGAAUAGGACAUCAUAGAGGGUGAGAAUCCCGUAUUUGGUCAUUCCUCCUAGCGUUGUGAUACACUUUCAACGAGUCGGAUUGUUUGGGAAUGCAGUCCAAAAUGGGUGGUAAAUUUCAUCUAAAGCUAAAUAUUGGCGAGAGACCGAUAGCGAACAAGUACCGUGAGGGAAAGAUGAAAAGAACUUUGAAAAGAGAGUUAAACAGUACGUGAAAUUGUCAAAAGGGAAGCGUUUGACACCAGUGUUGUUUUUCCGAAAAUCAAUUACGAAUGUUUUAUUUUUGAGGAGUUAUGACUUCAUCGGCUUGCUCCUUUCUUUAUGAAACUUUCUUAAUGCACUUUUCGGUUAACAAGUCAACAUCAAUUUCUUUUGUUGUAAAAGGGUAUGAGGAAGGUGGCUUUCUUUUCGGAGAAAGUGUUUAUAGCCUUGUAGCCUCUGCAAUCGGAGAGAUUGAGGUCUGCAGCGUAGAUCCUUCGGGGUUAGAUACAGUUUGUGCUAAGUUAUAGCUUUUCAUAGACAACUUGUUGACUAUGUUUAGUCUUGUAGCUUACUCGCUGAUGCUAUUUUACCUACGCUUAGGAUGUUGAUAGUCACAGCGUGUAC